AAAGAGAAAUUACUCAGAUUAACUCUAAUCAUACAUAUAAUGACUAGAGUAACUCAUAUAUUUAUGUAUUUACUAGAAUAACUUACAAGGGACACAAAAAUACCAAAAAACCAGUCUAAACCUCAUUAUUCACUGUUUUGCCAUUUUAUUUUAUUAAUAUGAAUAAAAUUUUAAUUGUAAGAAAAAUAGAAAUCUUCACUUCUCUUUCUCUCUCGCUUAAACUGUCGACAGAGAAAAAAACUUGCGACUUCUUCUUCUUCUCCUACGCUCAUCUCCGAUCUCAGGCAACUCCUUCUCCGUCACCACCUCCAAGUCACGGACGCCUUCGAUUUCGAAAACCCCACAUCUCGUAUUCAUGUUUGUUGCGAGAGAGAAACCCUAAUUCCAUACCACCGCAUACAAUUCCCAGAAACUUAAACUUGAUGGCUUCAUCUUCUGCCAUUAGAAUGUAUCCUCGGCGCUUGUACGAAGUUGGGAGAACACCAAUUCAGAACAGAAGCAUGAAUAAUAGCUGCUUUUUGUCGAAUCUUCAGAUGGUUGAAGAAAAUGUUGGUUUGCGCAGGUGUUUUCAUUCGCAGCAAUGAUUCAUGCUUCAGGUGUUUUCAUCCGGAAACAGAGUGAUGGCUCAGAUGUCGUUGGAUUUGAAGAGAUGCAAGGCUGAUGUCGUGGUCGAGAAUAAUGGAGAUCUCGACCACCUCAACCAACAGUUCAGUAUGGUGUUGUCUGAAAUCAGAAGACCACUGACGUGGAUUGAGUUUUGGCGUUCAAGGCAAGGAGCCUUCUCGGUUCUUGGUUUGGUCAUUUCAGGACUAUUUGUUUGCAAACGGUUCAGUUAUUGACUCUUAGCAAUUGCUUUUAAUAUUUCUACUGUUUUGUGUAGCAUAUGUUAUGAAUCAUAACUGCGUCCAGGUUCCAGACUUUAAAAAGUUCUUUUUUCAAAAUAAAGUUAAAACUCUACAAAAUAAAA
Long non-coding RNA from Raphanus sativus (radish), 967 nucleotides. RefSeq lists it as uncharacterized. The transcript has 2 exons. The record is from RefSeq and is a predicted model, not a curated record. Lineage: Eukaryota; Viridiplantae; Streptophyta; Magnoliopsida; Brassicales; Brassicaceae.